RNAcentral lists this ribosomal RNA (253 nucleotides) under uncultured bacterium. RNAcentral describes it as "partial 16S ribosomal RNA". It matches the Rfam family "Bacterial small subunit ribosomal RNA", at positions 524 to 776 of the family's 1533-position model. The record is from RNAcentral.
GACGAACCGUGCGAACGUUGUUCGGAAUCACUGGGCUUAAAGGGCGCGUAGGCGGCCCGCCGCGUCCGGGGUGAAAUCCUCCCGCUCAACGGGAGAACGGCCUCGGAUACGGGCGGGCUGGAGGGGGGUAGGGGCGGGCGGAACUGUGGGUGGAGCGGUGAAAUGCGUUGAGAUCCACAGGAACUCCGGUGGCGAAGGCGGCCCGCUGGACCCCAUCUGACGCUGAGGCGCGAAAGCCAGGGGAGCGAACGGG